UUUUUUGGCAAAAAAUAAGUCUUUAAAAUGUACAUUCUAUCACUAAUAAGUAAAGUAAAGGUGUGUAUUUCUUCUUUUCCAUAGAUUUGAAAGAUUGUGUAUCCCAUUGGGAGUGCUCCUAAAAGAGAACAAAAUUACCUGUAUCUGGACAAAAAAAUUGAGAGACAGACUUAAACUUCACUGAAAACCAUUUUGGAAGUGCAUUUAAUAUAACUUAUUUCUAACUUCUCUUUUAAUCUCAUAGUGUAAAAUAAAACACGUUAAAAUAAUACUAUUUGUAUGUAAAACUUUUUUUUAUAAUAUAGACUGCAAAUUUAUUACAGUCUCAUUUUUCCAGUAGUUAAACAUACGUAAAAACUUUUUCAUGAACUGAUGACUUUCUGUUUCAAAAAAC
This 394-nucleotide long non-coding RNA is filed under the name Mytilus galloprovincialis (Mediterranean mussel). The record is from RNAcentral. Lineage: Eukaryota; Metazoa; Mollusca; Bivalvia; Mytilida; Mytilidae.